GCCCUUCAGGCAUAACACAUGCAAGUCGAGCGAACCUUCGGGUUAGCGGCGGACGGGUGAGUAACGCGUGGGAAUAUGCCCUUUGGUACGGAAUAGCCUCUGGAAACGGAGAGUAAUACCGUAUGUGCCCUUCGGGGGAAAGAUUUAUCGCCAAAGGAUUAGCCCGCGUUGGAUUAGGUAGUUGGUGGGGUAAUGGCCUACCAAGCCUACGAUCCAUAGCUGGUUUGAGAGGAUGAUCAGCCACACUGGGACUGAGACACGGCCCANACUCNUACGGGAGGCAGCAGUGUGGAAUUUUAGACAAUGGGGGCAACCCUGAUCUAGCCAUGCCGCGUGAGUGAUGAAGGCCUUANGGUUGUAAAGCUCUUUCAGCUUGGGAAGAUAAUGACCGGUACCAGCAGAAGAAGCCCCGGCUAACUCCGUGCCAGCAGCCGCGGGUAAUAAGGCCGAAUUU
RNAcentral lists this ribosomal RNA (454 nucleotides) under uncultured bacterium. RNAcentral's name for it is "bacterial SSU rRNA". It matches the Rfam family "Bacterial small subunit ribosomal RNA", at positions 37 to 537 of the family's 1533-position model. The record is from RNAcentral.